GUAACUCAGUGGGUCAGUAACUCAGAUGUUUCAGGUCGGGGCCCCUGAAUAGAUAUGGCAAGCAACAUGAAUAAGGAAUCUUGGGAUGAGCCAAAGAUAUGUCCAACCGGGUAAGAAGACCUCGGGUAGAUCAGUGGUUCAUCGUGGGAUGUGGUGAGUGAGGUAGAGGCAGGGACAGAAGUGACGAUUAUCGUGACACUAGUGCUGAGGAACUGAGCUGGUCAGGCAGCAUUUCUGGAGACCAUGGACAGGCUCAAUCACUCAAUGGUAAUUAACCAGUUCAUUGGCUCGGGAGAUAUAAAGACUGAAACAGAUAUAACCAUACUCACUGAGAUAUUGUCCCUCUGCAACCUCCCACCCUUGCACUUCCAGAUCCCAAGGACAUCCAUUUACUUUGUCCGUAGACAAAAAUGCUGGAGAAACUCAGCGGGUGAGGCAGCAUCUAUGGAGCGAAGGAAAUAGGCAACGUUUCGGGUCGAGACCCUUCUUCAAGGACAUCCAUUUACUUUAAAUUCCCUUUCAUGUCAGCAUUGACAAAAAAAAACUCUCUCCAGAAUUACUCUAUCUGACAGCCACUUCUUCCUCUUGGCUCGGAUUACUCAGCUCGCUGUCAUUGUGCAAUACCCAAGUGUCUUAUGCUUCUAGACAGUAAACAUAAUUUCCUACCACAUUCCGCUUAAUAAAGCUCCUUUUACAGUAA
Amblyraja radiata (thorny skate) is the source of this 700-nucleotide long non-coding RNA. RefSeq lists it as uncharacterized. NCBI's taxonomy places the organism in Eukaryota, Metazoa, Chordata, Chondrichthyes, Rajiformes, Rajidae. The record is from RefSeq and is a predicted model, not a curated record. The transcript has 3 exons.